GAACAUGAUUAAUAUGGCAUCUUCUAUAAUUCAAAGCGGAAUUCGGUUUAUGAACGAGAAACCGUAAAGCGUUUUCAAUUUCGGUAUUAGUUAUGUAUGUUGUCUACGUAUUAUCCUGGUUCCCGGUACUACGUUCCGGUAUUAGCUAUUUGAUAUAUGUGAUGUGUAACAUUACGAUCGGGUACCAGCCAAUCUACGUGUGUAUGUGUACAUGAUUUCCCGCCAAAAUGACCGACUUACAGCUAUAGUGUAUGAAAAAUAGUCCAUAAACGUUCCGUAUAAUGAUAUGCAAAUUCAUAAUUAAUCGUAACUUUUUUAUCUUGUGUAUAAUAAAUAUAACAAAAUGGAUUCCACAAAAUUGAAAAUAGCAUUAUUUUACGAGGAUUUCUCAUAUUUUUCUCACUUCCGGGCGCAGUAAUACGUAUGUUUUGAAGAAGUUCGAAGAAUUUGACAAAGUGAAUUGAGAAGGAAACGGAUAGAUAUACGUCCUUGCUAUCAGGUAAAACAAUUUAAAUGAACAGAACAAACACAUUUACUUCACACAAAUAGUACAGGCUUAAGCUUUUUAUUGUCUUAUACACGACUGUAGUCUAGUGUUUAAACGACGGCGGUGACCUACAAGGUACGGGUCAUACUGGGUCAAGUCUAAAUAUGAAAUAUGUAAACAUAUCCACGUGCUAUUAGGUAGAAAGCAUCGUAAUGCAAUAUCUACAAUUUUUCCUCCUUUAUACAUCGUUUAACCAGAUAUAUUUCUCUUUCAAAUACACUUAUAAAACACGGG
RNAcentral lists this long non-coding RNA (781 nucleotides) under Mytilus galloprovincialis (Mediterranean mussel). Lineage: Eukaryota; Metazoa; Mollusca; Bivalvia; Mytilida; Mytilidae. The record is from RNAcentral.